GAUGAAGAACGCAGCGAAAUGCGAUACGUAAUGUGAAUUGCAGAAUUCAGUGAAUCAUCCAAUCUUUGAACGCAUAUUGCGCUCUUUGGUAUUCCGAAGAGCAUGCUUGUUUGAGUAUCAGUAAACACCUCAACCUCUUCUUGAUUUUUCAAAAGGAGGGUGGACUUGAGCUAUCCCAACAACCUUUACCGGUCGGCGGGCGGCUUGAAAUGCAGGUGCAGCUGGACUUUUAUCUGAGCUAAAAGCAUAUCUAUUUAGUCCUCGUCAAACAGGAUUAUUACUUUUGCUGCAGCUAACAUAAAGGAUAAUUGUCCUCUUUGCUGACUGAUGCAGGAUUUUACGACACUUUAUGUGUUGUUCAACUCGAUCUCAAAUCAAGUAAGACUACCCGCUGAACUUAAGCAUAUCAAAAGCGGAGGA
This 420-nucleotide unclassified non-coding RNA is filed under the name soil metagenome. RNAcentral describes it as "partial contains 5.8S ribosomal RNA, internal transcribed spacer 2, and large subunit ribosomal RNA". The stretch from base 1 to 120 matches the Rfam family "5.8S ribosomal RNA", at positions 35 to 154 of the family's 154-position model. The record is from RNAcentral.